CAAUGAUUUGUACGUCAUUUUUAAAACACUUCCGUAGUACGGACGAUAUUGAUGAUGAAAUAUCUUAUGAAGAUCAUUUAGAGGUUUAUUUUGAAUAACUGACAAUUCCAGGAAUGAUGGAAUAAAACAUAUGAAGUAGAAGGACUGGAACCUCCAGAAAAAAUACUUCAAGUUACCGACAAGUGAUCUUAGUCAGGCAAAUGAAAACAGUAGCCUAAAGUGUCGGUUUCAACCAGAAAAUAACAGCUAUGAUUUCUCAUGGCUCACACUCUUCUGAAACGACUCAGGAAGAGGCUGAGGAAGGCCAUGUUGUUUGUCUACCUGGGACUACACCUACUGAAAGAAGUUCUGAAGUUCUGAUUGAGUUCUAAAAGUUUUUUGAAGAUUGGAAUUCUUCAUAUUCAGAUCUAAGAUUCUUCGUUGAAAGGAUUUCCCCACUCAGUACUUUGAAUUAAUCAACCCUACUGCCUUCUGGCCUCCAAGGUUUCCGCAGCGACUUAAUUCAGACUACCUCAGAAGAAGAAUUUAACAUUUAUUUUUGUAGAAAACCAGCAAUUUUAAAAUAGCCUGGGAAAACUUAGAUAAAAAGAGAAAAGAGAGACAUUCUUGAUUUUGGUGACUAGAGUUGUAGAUGCUGGAAAGCUUUGUCACUAAAAUUGAUGAACCAGAUGCACGUCACCAGCCAAUCACGCUGACUCUUAAUGCCGGCACCAUGGCCUGGCACCGUCACGUUUUCCAAGGAACCUGCCGGAGCUCCUGCGGAAGCUGCUCCUUGGGCCGAUGGAGGCUCUUAGCUGGUAGGCCCUUCUUUAGUCACCACAGGAUGCCUGCCAUUCAUGAACAGAAAGGAGAGGACAGGCUUUGAAUAAAACACAGGACCUGGAAAAUAUUUGUGAGGCCAUUGGACUUCAGAUUUCAGUGUCAGGUGGUGGUGAAAGUUGAAGUCGUUUCUUCAAGAAGCAAACCUCUGCCACCUGGACUGUGCUCAGACAUUUCAUUCAUUUUGUUAAAUAAACAUUUCCCGGCUUUGGGAGGUGUCCCUCUUGGUGGAACACAAAUGUUCUGAGAAUUGGCCGUUGGCGGUAUCAUGGCGACCCGGAACCCCCCUCCCCAAGAAUAUGAAAGUGAUGACGACUCCUAUGAAGUGUUGGAUUUAACUGAGUAUGCAAGAAGACACCAGUGGUGGAAUCGAGUGUGUGGCCACAGUUCGGGACCUAUGGUAGAAAAAUACUCAGUAGCUACCCAGAUUGUAAUGGGUGGCGUUCCUGGCUGGUGUGCAGGAUUUCUGUUCCAGAAAGUUGGAAAACUUGCAGCAACUGCAGUAGGUGGUGGCUUUCUUCUCCGUCAGAUUGCUAGUCAUAGUGGCUAUGUGCAGACUGACUGGAAGAGAGUUGGAAAAGAUGUAAAUAAAGCAAAAAGACAGAUUAAGAAACGAGCGAACAAAGCAGCACCUGAAAUCAACAAUGUAAUUGAAGAAGCAACAGAAUUUAUCAAGCAGCACAUUGUGAUAUCCGGUGGAUUUGUGGGAGGCUUUUCGCUCGGACUUGCAUCUUAAGGACAUGAAUAUUCUCCCGUAGUGGAUUCAACUACGAGAAGAGAAGUGGCAGCAAUAAGGCAGUCUCUCAACAGUCAUGCUGCCAGAGUCUCCAGGGCAAGGAGAAACAACUAGCUGGACAGUACUCAAUUCACAACUUAGCAUUUUGCCAUCUGAAGCUUGGCAAACUAGUAUCUGCUGUAAAAUAACCUGUAUGGUGUGUGAACCAUAGUAUUCCUGAGCAAAACAUGGCUUUCACUGCUUUGUAAAAAUUUGCAUCUGUUUAGAAACUAGCCUAUAAAAUAUCACCAUUGGAUGUAGAUAUGGAGAGAAAAGAAAUAUGUUGGGUUUAUUGCUUAGUGAAAUCUUUUCUUUUUAUUUAAAU
RNA transcript from Cercocebus atys (sooty mangabey), 1919 nucleotides. It is a transcript of the gene named FUN14 domain-containing protein 1 pseudogene, with no coding region annotated. The record is from RefSeq and is a predicted model, not a curated record. The transcript is spliced from 10 exons. Lineage: Eukaryota; Metazoa; Chordata; Mammalia; Primates; Cercopithecidae.